UACGAAGGGGGCUAGCGUUGCUCGGAAUCACUGGGCGUAAAGGGUGCGUAGGCGGGUCUUUAAGUCAGGGGUGAAAUCCUGGAGCUCAACUCCAGAACUGCCUUUGAUACUUAGGAUCUUGAGUACGGGAGAGGUGAGUGGAACUGCGAGUGUAGAGGUGAAAUUCGUAGAUAUUCGCAAGAACACCAGUGGCGAAGGCGGCUCACUGGCCCGUUACUGACGCUGAGGCACGAAAGCGUGGGGAGCAAACAGG
RNAcentral lists this ribosomal RNA (253 nucleotides) under uncultured bacterium. RNAcentral's name for it is "partial 16S ribosomal RNA". It matches the Rfam family "Bacterial small subunit ribosomal RNA", at positions 524 to 776 of the family's 1533-position model. The record is from RNAcentral.